CACCUGGACUCCAUUAUCUUCCUGAUUACCUCCCCUAUAUCUGUCACUCCCUUGGGUUCCUUCCUCAGUCAGUAUUGUUACUGUGUUCAUGUGUAAAUGCCACUGUUAUGUUGUCUCAUUUCAUGUUUGUUUUUUUAUUAAACGUUUCACCUGCACCUGCCUCUCGACUCACAGCGUCUCCGUUACAGAAUACUGACUCAAGCAAUGGAAGCAGCAGGAAAACCGAAUAUCUCUCAGACGGUCGACGAGCAGGGUUAUCUUCUGGGUCAACACCAUGACCAGCUUGCACAACUGGGGACGGCUAUGGAAGAGGUUCUUCGCAGUUUACAUCUUGUCAAACACACCAGGGAGGCAUUGCAGUCAACUAGCGGAGGAUACUCUACAACCAGUCAACCCAGCACAACAGCCCAUUCAGCAACCCACUCAAGUCAGCGAUGCCCGUUUGUCGCUCCCGGAAAAAUAUGACAGUACCUCAUUCAAAUACCAUGGCUUCCUACUUCAGUGCUCCCUCUACUUUACACAUCAGAUGGGAGCUCCUACCACUGAAAGGUCCAAGGUUGCCACGGUUAUUUCUCUGCUGAUUCGGAACCAUCACACACAUCACCCAACCACUCACCCUCACGGUGGAGUCCAUUCAUCAGGAGAACAUCCCCUUCUUCAACCUGUUCACAAGAUCAUCCUCGGCCUCAACGCCAUAACCCUACCAUCUCAUGGUCGAGGAUGAGAAUCACAGACUGGUCACCCGAAUGCCGGAGGACCUGCUUCCUUGUCCCCUGUGGUUACACGUCGGUUGAGAGUCCUGUAAUUGCCCUUCAACCCAACAUCCGGGAGGUAUUCUCCAAGACCCGCGUCACCCGUCUUCCUCCUCAUCACCCCUGGGACUGUGCCAUCGACCUCCGCACAGAUGCAUCUAUCCUCUACCGGUGGCUGAGACUCAGGCCAUGGAGGAUUACAUCCAAGAGGUGCUCCAACAAGGUUUCAUCCACACGUCCACUUCUCCUGCGUCGGCUGGUUUCUUCUUUGUGGCCAAGAAGGAUGGAGGGUUACGUCCAUGCAUUGACUACAAAUCAAAUAAAAUGUAUUUAUAAAGCCCUUCUUACAUCAGCUGAUAUCUCAAAGUGCUGUACAGAAACCCAGCCUAAAACCCCAAACAGCAAGCAAUGCAGGUGUAGAAGCACAGUGGCUAGGAAACACUCCCUAGAAAGGCCAGAACCUAGGAAGAAACCUAGAGAGGAACCAGGCUAUGAGGGGUGGCCAGUCCUCUUCUGGCUGUGCUGGGUGGAGAUUAUAACAGAACAUGGCCAAGAUGUUCAAAUGUUCAUAGAUGACCAGCAGGGUCAAAUAAUAAUAAUCACAGUGGUUGUCGAGGGUGCAACAGGUCAGCACCUCAGGAGUAAAUGUCAGUUGGCUUUUCAUAGCCGAUCACUCAGAGUAUCUCCACCGCUCCUGCUGUCUCUAGAGAGUUGAAAACAGCAGGUCUGGGACAGGUAGCACGUCCGGUGAACAGGUCAGGGUUCCAUAGACGCAGGCAGAACAGUUGAAACUGGAGCAGCAGCACAGCCAGGUGGACUGGGGACAGCAAGGAGUCAUCAGGCCAGGUAGUCCUGAGUUAUGGUCCUAGGGCUCAGGUCCUCUGAGAGAGAGAAAGAAAGAACUAGAGAGAGCAUACUUAAAUUCACACAGGACACCAGAUAAGACAGGAGAAAUACUCCAGAUAUAACAGACUGACCUUAGCCCCCCAACACAUAAACUACUGCAGCAUAAAUACUGGAGGCUGAGACAGGAGGGGUCGGGAGACACUGUGGCCCCGUCCGAUGAUACCCCCGGAUAGGGCCAAACAGGCAGGAUAUAACCCCACCCACUUUGCCAAAGCACAGCCCCCACUACAGAGGAGAUUACCACGAAGUACCAUUACCCUCUCCCGUUGGUGCCGGCAGCCAUUGAACAGCUCGGCGGGGUCCAGAACUGGACCUGUGGAGUGCUUGCAAUCUCAUCCGCAUCCGGGAGGGGGAUGAGUCGAAGACUGCGUUUAGCACAAUGUCUGGUCACUACGAGUACUUGGCGAUGCCAUUUGGCUUAGCCAAUGCUCCAUCAGUGCUCUCUCCAAACGUGCGCACACACACACACACACACACACACACACACACACACACACACGUGAAAGUGUUAUUGGUUGUGAUUUCCUGAUUUUCAUCAUGUGAUAAUUUAGGGGUUUUUCACUUUUUUUUUUAAACACCACUCCUGAAUAAGAAACAAUGUAAUUAACAAUUAGUGCAUUCGUUAACGAGGUGUUCAGGGACAUGCUCGGACACCAGGUGGUCGUGUAUAUCGAUGACAUCUUGAUCUUGAUGAUGGCUUUCACUUCAGCAGUAAUAAAUUCAUGAACUUCUUUGAGGAAAAGAUCAUGAUCAUUAGAAAGCAAAUUAUGGACUCCUCUUUAAAUCCGCAUAUUCCUCCAAAGCUCAGUUGUCCUGAGUCUGCACAACUCUGCCAGGACCUAGGAUCAAGGGAGACACAGUGUUUUAGUACUAUAUCUCUUGACACAAUGAUGAAAAUAAUCAUGGCCUCUAAACCUUCAAGCUGCAUACUGGACCCUAUUCCAGCUAAACUCUGAAAGAGCUGCUUCCUGUGCUUGGCCCUCCUAUGUUGAACAUAAUAAACGGCUCUCUAUCCACCGGAUGUGUACCAAACUCACUAAAAGUGACAGUAAAAAAGCCUCUCUUGAAAAAGCCAAACCUUGAGACAGAAAAUAUAAAGAACUAUCGGCCUAUAUCGAAUCUCCCAUUCCUCUCAAAAAUGUUAGAAAAAACUGUUGCACAGCAACUCACUGCCUUCCUGAAGACAAACAAUGUAUACGAAACGCUUCAGUCUGGUUUUAGACCCCAUCAUAGCACUGAGACUGCACUUGUGAAGGUGGUAAAUAACCUUUUAAUGGCGUCAGACCGAGGCUCUGCAUCUGUCCUCGUGCUCCUAGACCUUAGUGCUGCUUUUGAUACCAUCGAUCACCACAUUCUUUUGGAGAGAUUGGAAACCCAAAUUGGUCUACACCGACAAGUUCUGGCCUGGUUUAGAUCUUAUCUGUCGGAAAGAUAUCAUUUUGUCUCUGUGAAUGAUUUGUCCUCUGACAAAUCAACUGUAAAUUUCGGUGUUCCUCAAGGUUCCAUUUUAGGACCACAAUUGUUUUCACUAUAUAUUUUACCUCUUGGGGAUGUCAUUUGAAAACAUAAUGUUAACUUUCACUGCUAUGCGGAUGACACACAGUUGUACAUUUCAAUGAAACAUGGUGAAGCCCCAAAAUUACCCUCGCUGGAAGCCUGUGUUUCAGACAUAAGGAAGUGGAUGGCUGAAAACUUUCUACUUUUAAACUCUGACAAAACAGAGAUGCAUGUUCUAGGUCCCAAGAAACAAAGAGAUCUUCUGUUGAAUCUGACAAUUAAUCUUGAUGGUUGUACAGUCGUCUCAAAUAAAACUGUGAAGGACCUCGGCGUUACUCUGGACCCUGAUCUCUCUUUUGACGAACAUAUCAAGACUGUUUCAAGGACAGCUUUUUUCCCAUCUACGUAACAUUGCAAAAAUCUUAAAUGUUCUGUCCAAAAUUGAUGCAGAAAAAUUAAUCCAUGCUUUUGUUACUUCUAGGUUAGACUACUGCAAUGCUCUACUUUCCGGCUACCCGGAUAAAGCACUAAUAAACUUCAGUUAGUGCUAAAUACGGCUGCUAUAAUCCUGACUAGAACCAAAAUAUUUGAUCAUAUUACUCCAGUGCUAUCCUCCCUACACUGGCUUCCUGUUAAGGCAAGGGCAGAUUUCAAGGUUUUACUGCUAACCUACAAAGCAUUACAUGGGCUUGCUCCAACCUAUCUUUCCAAUUUGGUCCUGUCGUACAUACCAACACGUACGCUACGGUCACAAUAUGCAGGCCUCCUAAUUGUCCCUAGAAUUUCUAAGCAAACAGCUGGAGGCAGGGCUUUCUCCUAUAGAGCUCAAUUUUUAUGGAAUGGUCUGCCUACCCAUGUGAGAGACGUAGACUCGGUGUCAACCUUUAAGUCUUUAUUGAAGACUCAUCUCUUCAGUAGGUUCUAUGAUUGAGUGUAGUCUGGCCCAGGAGUGUGAAGGUGAACGGAAAGGCACUGGAGCCUUUCCGCCCUUGCUGUCUCUGCCUAGCUGGUUCCCCUCUCUCCACUGGGAUUCUCUGCCUCUAACCCUAUUACAGGGGCUGAGUCACUGGCUUAUUGGUGCUCUUCCAUGCCGUCCCUAGGAGGGGUGCGUCACUUGAGUGGGUUGAGUCACUGAUGUGGUCUUCCUGUCUGGAUUGGCGCCCCCCUUGGGUUGUGCCGUGGUGGAGAUCUUUGUGGGCUAUACUCGGCCUUGUCUCAGGAUGAUUGGUGGUUGAAGAUAUCCCUCUAGGUGGUGUGGGGGCUGUGCUUUGGCAAAGUGGGUGGGGUUAUAUCCUGCCUGUUUGGCCCUGUCCGGGGGUAUCAUCGGAUGGGGCCACAGUGUCUCCAAAACCUCCUGUCUCAGCCUCCAGUAUUUAUGCUGCAGUAGUUUAUGUGUCGGGGGGCUAGGGUCAGUCUGUUAUAUCUGGAGUAUUUCUCCUGUCUUAGCCGGUGUCCUGUGUGAAUUUAAGUAUGCUCUCUCUAAUUCUCUCUUUCUUUUUUCUUUCUUUCUUUCUUUCUUUCUUUCUUUCUUUCUUUCUUUCUUUCUUUCUUUCUUUCUUUCUUUCUUUCUUUCUUUCUUUCUUUCUUUCUUUCUUUAUUUCUUUCUUUAUUUCUUUCCUUCUCUCUCUCGGAGGACCUGAGCCCUAGGACCAUGCCUCAGGACUACAUGGCAUGAUGACUCCUUGUUGUCCCCAGUCCACCUGGCCGUGCUGCUGCUCCAGUUUCAACUGUUCUGCCUGCAGCUAUGGAACCCUGACCUUUUCACUAUGAUUCCUAUUAUUUGACCAUGCUGGUCAUCUAUGAACAUUUGAACAGCUUGGCCAUGUUCUGUUAUAAUCUCCACCCAGCACAGCCAGAAGAGGACUGGCCACCUCUCAUAGCCUGGUUCCUCUCUAGGUUUCUUCCUAGGUUCUGGCCUUUCUAGGGAGUUUUUCCUAGCCGCCGUGCUUCUACACCUGCAUUGCUUGCUGUUUGGGGUUUUAGGCUGGGUUUCUGUACAGCACUUUGAUAUAUCAGCUGAUGUAAGAAGGGCUAUAUAAAUACAUUUGACUUGAUUCGAUCUACUCGGCUACCCUGGAGGAUCACAUCACUCACCUUCAAGCAGUCUUGGAACGACCUCCUGGCUAACCACCUGUUCAUCAAGGCUGAGAAGUGCCAAUUGCAUCAGAGGGCUGUCUCCUUAGGCUACCAAAUCAGCCCGCAGGGAGUGAGGAUUGACGACAAGAAGGUAGAUGCGGUCAGGUCCCAACCACCAUAGAAGGGUUAGAAAGGUUUUUGGGGUUUGCCAACUUCUACCACCGUUUCAUCAGGAACUUCAGCUCAGUCACCGCUCCUCUAACUUUUCUCAUUAACCUCUUACAUCUAGACGUUCCGCUAGCGGAACACCUGCUCCAAUAUCCAAUGAUAGGCGUGGCGCGAAUUACAAAUUCCUCAAAAAUACAAAAACUUCAAUUUUUCAAACAUAUGACUAUUUCACAGCAUUUUAAAGACAAGACUCUCCUUUAUCUAACCACACUGUCCGAUUUCAAAAAGGCUUUACAGCGAAAGCAAAACAUUAGAUUAUGUCAGCAGAGUACCCAGCCAGAAAUAAUC
This 5747-nucleotide long non-coding RNA is filed under the name Salmo salar (Atlantic salmon). Its description in RNAcentral is "lncRNA (ENSSSAG00000084558.1)". Lineage: Eukaryota; Metazoa; Chordata; Actinopteri; Salmoniformes; Salmonidae. The record is from RNAcentral.